CUCACAUUUGAACACGAUUUAGUUUUAUUUUGAAAAACUCAGAGAAGUCAAACUUCAGGAGCACUAAAUAACCUGUAUUGAUCAGUAGCCUACUUUAACACAUAAAUGAGAAACACAACGCGUUAUAAGAAAAAAAUGAUCACUUUUGGAAUUUACUUAUCAUGGUUAAAAACAACUUUCUGGAUCUACGCGCGGAAAACGGAGUCUCCAGCCCCGAAGAAUUAACAAUGGAUAAAGUUCAAGACACUGACGGGAAUCGGUCACGCCAGACACCACCUGAAGCAGUUCAGCUCUGUGUACAACCCCAGUGAUGGAGCACAUCAGGCUACCAUCCGUUCCUUAGGCAGGUGCUAGAGGAGAUCUUCCACCCAGACAGGUGUGAAUGUCCUGAUGUAGAGCACAUGUCUGGAGGACUCACUGACCUUCUCAAGACUGGCUUCAGCAUGUUCAUGAAGGUACUAGUAAUGUCCACUAGAUUGCCGAGACCUUCAGAUGUUCCUCACUUACUCUUCAACACAGACAGACUCAAACUUGACAUCGGAGUAUGAAGGCACUGAUCGCAUACACUCACACUGUUGAAUACAUUCAGUCCAACCCAAGAUCUUUACCCACGUACUGUGUCUAGGUUACUGAGCUAUCUGACCUGAAUAGUGUUUGGGAUAUUUAAGUGAAAGAGAUCAUUAAAAAUUAUUUAGACUCAUAUACAACAAGCUCUUGUUUUUUCUUCCCAUUCCAAAACUUUUACAUGUUGUUGCAUGUGACCAGUAAAUGUUAUUUCUUAAGUGUUUAUGCUUGUCCCUACUCAAGUGUGUAAUGUUAAUGUGUGUAAGCAUGAAUGCGCUGAAUGGAAAUCACACAGUCAGCACAAAUCUUGCACAUUUUACUCUCUCGCAUAUGUGAUGAAAAGAACAUGCACACACGGUGCUGGCAACAGAUUGAACAGAUUCUGCACUUUGAUGCUCAGUACAUUUUCCCCUCAUCUUUCACCCAAUUCAGCAGUGUUGUGGAGCAUGUUGGUGACAGGUAGUGACAGAUGGAAAGAGGGCAGAGGUCAAAAAAGGAGGGGAGAUCUUUUAGAGCAAAUAUCUCUUUUCUUCUCUCACUUUGGGUAGUUUCCAUUCAUACAUGAUCAUCCCUAUUCCCCAAGGCUUUUACCACCACAGUCAGCGAUUCAGUGGGUGUAGGAGUGUAGAUCUGAAACAUAAUGGUCAUUCAGACAACACUUUUUAAUGUAGUUUUGUGGGGAAUUUAGUUGGAAACAAAGUUACAACUAUUUUGAAGUGUCCUUCGUAGACGCCAUUUGCACCAUUUGGUGUGCACAUGCACUCACACUAGUAUUUAUUUUACACUUAAUAGUUUUGAGUUUGUGUUUCACAAUUAUACCAGCAGGG
Misgurnus anguillicaudatus (oriental weatherfish) is the source of this 1391-nucleotide non-coding RNA. Lineage: Eukaryota; Metazoa; Chordata; Actinopteri; Cypriniformes; Cobitidae. The record is from RefSeq and is a predicted model, not a curated record.